RNAcentral lists this ribosomal RNA (119 nucleotides) under Prolemur simus (greater bamboo lemur). The record is from RNAcentral. Lineage: Eukaryota; Metazoa; Chordata; Mammalia; Primates; Lemuridae.
GUCUACGGCCAUACCACCCUGAACGCACCUGAUCUCGUCUGAUCUCGGAAGCAAAGCAGGGUCGGGCCUGGUUAGUACUUGGAUGGGAGAAAACAAAGAUCAACAAGCUUUUCUUCACU